Molecule: ribosomal RNA, 495 nt
Filed under: uncultured bacterium
Lineage: Bacteria
Description: partial 16S ribosomal RNA
Rfam family: Bacterial small subunit ribosomal RNA
Source: RNAcentral
GACGAACGCUGGCGGCGUGCCUAAUACAUGCAAGUAGAACGCUGAAGGAGGAGCUUGCUUCUCCGGAUGAGUUGCGAACGGGUGAGUAACGCGUAGGUAACCUGCCUGGUAGCGGGGGAUAACUAUUGGAAACGAUAGCUAAUACCGCAUAAGAGUAGAUGUCGCAUGACAUUUGCUUAAAAGGUGCAACUGCACCAUUACCAGAUGGACCUGCGUUGUAUUAGCUAGUUGGUGAGGUAACGGCUCACCAAGGCAACGAUACAUAGCCGACCUGAGAGGGUGAUCGGCCACACUGGGACUGAGACACGGCCCAGACUCCUACGGGAGGCAGCAGUAGGGAAUCUUCGGCAAUGGACGGAAGUCUGACCGAGCAACGCCGCGUGAGUGAAGAAGGUUUUCGGAUCGUAAAGCUCUGUUGUAAGAGAAGAACGAGUGUGAGAGUGGAAAGUUCACACUGUGACGGUAGCUUACCAGAAAGGGACGGCUAACUACGUG